Molecule: ribosomal RNA, 470 nt
Filed under: uncultured bacterium
Lineage: Bacteria
Description: partial 16S ribosomal RNA
Rfam family: Bacterial small subunit ribosomal RNA
Source: RNAcentral
UGGGGAAUUUUUGGACAAUGGGCGAAAGCCUGAUCCAGCAAUGCCGCGUGUGUGAAGAAGGCCUUCGGGUUGUAAAGCGCUUUUGUCCGGAAAGAAAUCCUUGGCUCUAAUACAGUCGGGGGAUGACGGUACCGGAAGAAUAAGCACCGGCUAACUACGUGCCAGCAGCCGCGGUAAUACGUAGGGUGCAAGCGUUAAUCGGAAUUACUGGGCGUAAAGCGUGCGCAGGCGGUUUGCUAAGACCGAUGUGAAAUCCCCGGGCUCAACCUGGGAACUGCAUUGGUGACUGGGCAGGCUAGAGUAUGGCAGAGGGGGGUAGAAUUCCACGUGUGAGCAGUGAAAUGCGUAGAGAUGUGGAGGAAUACCGAUGGCGAAGGCAGCCCCCUGGGCCAAUACUGACGCUCAUGCACGAAAGCGUGGGGAGCAAACAGGAUUAGGAUACCCUGGUAGUCCACGCCCUAAAACGAUGU